UACGAAGGGCCCGAGCGUUAUCCGGAUUUAUUGGGUUUAAAGGGUGCGUAGGCGGAAUAGUAAGUCAGUGGUGAAAGCCUGUUGCUUAACAACAGAACUGCCAUCGAUACUGCUAAUCUUGAGUACAUAUGAUGUGGGCGGAAUGUGCCAUGUAGCGGUGAAAUGCUUAGAUAUGGCACAGAACACCGAUUGCGAAGGCAGCUCACAAAACUGUUACUGACGCUGAGGCACGAAAGCGUGGGGAUCAAACAGG
RNAcentral lists this ribosomal RNA (253 nucleotides) under uncultured bacterium. RNAcentral describes it as "partial 16S ribosomal RNA". It matches the Rfam family "Bacterial small subunit ribosomal RNA", at positions 524 to 776 of the family's 1533-position model. The record is from RNAcentral.